UACACUCCUGCGGGAGGCAGCAGUGGGGAAUUUUGGACAAUGGGCGAAAGCCUGAUCCAGCAAUGCCGCGUGAGUGAAGAAGGCCUUCGGGUUGUAAAGCUCUUUUGUCAGGGAAGAAACGGUGAGAGCUAAUAUCUCUUGCUAAUGACGGUACCUGAAGAAUAAGCACCGGCUAACUACGUGCCAGCAGCCGCGGUAAUACGUAGGGUGCAAGCGUUAAUCGGAAUUACUGGGCGUAAAGCGUGCGCAGGCGGUUUUGUAAGUCUGAUGUGAAAUCCCCGGGCUCAACCUGGGAAUUGCAUUGGAGACUGCAAGGCUAGAAUCUGGCAGAGGGGGGUAGAAUUCCACGUGUAGCAGUGAAAUGCGUAGAUAUGUGGAGGAACACCGAUGGCGAAGGCAGCCCCCUGGGUCAAGAUUGACGCUCAUGCACGAAAGCGUGGGGAGCAAACAGGAUUAGAAACCCUAGUAGUCCCAUGA
RNAcentral lists this ribosomal RNA (477 nucleotides) under uncultured organism. RNAcentral describes it as "partial 16S ribosomal RNA". It matches the Rfam family "Bacterial small subunit ribosomal RNA", at positions 332 to 800 of the family's 1533-position model. The record is from RNAcentral.